AUCAUAGAAUGAGCAUGCCUCAUCAUCAGUUUCGAUAUCAGAGAAGCUGGACAUAUGGUCCAGCUCCUCCUUCUCCAACUUUACAUUGUCCAUCUCCACCUUGGCACUCUCCUUCUCCAACUUGACAUUGUCCAUCUCCACCUUGGCGCUCUCCACGUCCACCUUGCCACUCUCAUUCUCCACAUCAAAAAUUAGCCGGCGCCACUCAUGAAGCAUAGUACUGCACAGAAAUUAUAUACAAAAUCAAUAAGGUACUAGUUUGACAACCAAAUUGCAAGGCAAUGUUAAGAUGGCUGACCCCAAACGUUGACGACCUUGGUUGGCACACGGCCCAGUAAUUCUGCUCACCGUAACAACAUCUUGUGGCUCCGUCUCAGGCACAUACUCAUCAUUAUCACCAAGCAAAGAUGAACCCUUAGCACCUCCUUCUUCAUAUGAAUCAGGUAUCAAAACAAAU
RNAcentral lists this long non-coding RNA (457 nucleotides) under Setaria italica (foxtail millet). RNAcentral's name for it is "long non-coding RNA (SITA_LNC002004)". Lineage: Eukaryota; Viridiplantae; Streptophyta; Magnoliopsida; Poales; Poaceae. The record is from RNAcentral.